RNAcentral lists this ribosomal RNA (419 nucleotides) under uncultured bacterium. RNAcentral's name for it is "bacterial SSU rRNA". It matches the Rfam family "Bacterial small subunit ribosomal RNA", at positions 358 to 770 of the family's 1533-position model. The record is from RNAcentral.
GGAAUAUUGGACAAUGGGGGAAACCCUGAUCCAGCAACGCCGCGUGGAGGAUGAAGGCCUUCGGGUUGUAAACUCCUGUCAGGUGGAGCGAAAAGCACCGGCUAAUAACCGAUGUCUAUGACGGUACCCCCCGCGGAAGCCCCGGCUAACUCCGUGCCAGCAGCCGCGGUAAUACGGAGGGGGCAAGCGUUAGUCGGAAUUAUUGGGCGUAAGGGGCGCGUAGGCGGCCGUGCAAGUCAGGGGUGAAAUCCCUCGGCUCAACCGAGGAACUGCCUCUGAAACUGCAUGGCUUGAGACCGGGAGAGGGUGGUGGAAUUCCUAGUGUAGCGGUGAAAUGCGUAGAUAUUAGGAGGAACACCAGUGGCGAAGGCGACCACCUGGACCGGAUCUGACGCUGAGGCGCGAAAGUGUGGGGAGCA